RNAcentral lists this long non-coding RNA (446 nucleotides) under Mus spicilegus (steppe mouse). RNAcentral's name for it is "lncRNA (ENSMSIG00000005420.1)". Lineage: Eukaryota; Metazoa; Chordata; Mammalia; Rodentia; Muridae. The record is from RNAcentral.
CAUCACUGAACUUUAGAUGACACUUAAAUAUGAAGAGACUUAACUCAGGUUCCCCAAGAACAAAGAUUCAAGUACAAGAAAUUUAUUGGGGAAUUACAGGCAACAGCAUCUGGAGAGGAGAUGAGGCCAGGAAGGAAGAAAAGGCAAUCAAUGGAGGAUAUUGUCUUCGAGCCUAGAAGCCAUUGUGAAGAACAAACGUAUUUCCCAUGGAUACACUGCACAAUGAUUCCCACCAGAAGCCUGGAGCCCACGCAAGCUCCUGAAAGCAUCUACUAAUGAGCCAAAGGGGAAGGGAGAGGCCCACAUGUGAGUUAAAGGUGUCACUUUGGCAGCUGCAGGAAUUGAACCCAGAGCUGUGUGCGUGCUAGGCAAGUGCCCGACCACUGAGCUAUCACCCCAGCCCUUGCACAGGUUUCUUUAUUUUGUUAUUAAAAUUUAAUUUUGAU